Molecule: ribosomal RNA, 801 nt
Filed under: uncultured bacterium
Lineage: Bacteria
Description: bacterial SSU rRNA
Rfam family: Bacterial small subunit ribosomal RNA
Source: RNAcentral
AGAGUUUGAUCCUGGCUCAGAUUGAACGCUGGCGGCGGGCCUAACACAUGCAAGUCGAGCGGUAGCACAAGAGAGCUUGCUCUCUGGGUGACGAGCGGCGGACGGGUGAGUAAUGUCUGGGAAACUGCCUGAUGGAGGGGGAUAACUACUGGAAACGGUAGCUAAUACCGCAUAACGUCUUCGGACCAAAGUGGGGGACCUUCGGGCCUCACGCCAUCAGAUGUGCCCAGAUGGGAUUAGCUAGUAGGUGGGGUAAUGGCUCACCUAGGCGACGAUCCCUAGCUGGUCUGAGAGGAUGACCAGCCACACUGGAACUGAGACACGGUCCAGACUCCUACGGGAGGCAGCAGUGGGGAAUAUUGCACAAUGGGCGCAAGCCUGAUGCAGCCAUGCCGCGUGUGUGAAGAAGGCCUUCGGGUUGUAAAGCACUUUCAGCGAGGAGGAAGGGUAGUGUGUUAAUAGCACAUUGCAUUGACGUUACUCGCAGAAGAAGCACCGGCUAACUCCGUGCCAGCAGCCGCGGUAAUACGGAGGGCGCAAGCGUUAAUCGGAAUUACUGGGCGUAAAGCGCACGCAGGCGGUUUGUUAAGUCAGAUGUGAAAUCCCCGCGCUUAACGUGGGAACUGCAUUUGAAACUGGCAAGCUAGAGUCUUGUAGAGGGGGGUAGAAUUCCAGGUGUAGCGGUGAAAUGCGUAGAGAUCUGGAGGAAUACCGGUGGCGAAGGCGGCCCCCUGGACAAAGACUGACGCUCAGGUGCGAAAGCGUGGGGAGCAAACAGGAUUAGAUACCCUGGUAGUCCAA